Molecule: non-coding RNA, 661 nt
Organism: Pelobates cultripes (western spadefoot toad)
Lineage: Eukaryota; Metazoa; Chordata; Amphibia; Anura; Pelobatidae
Source: the annotation of a GenBank genome assembly
ACACACACUUAAGUUAUUUUAAAACAGGUUUAUUUUUAUUACUUUCCCACCAGCAGGGGGACUGUGACAUUUCAGACAGUCCCCCUGCUGGCAGAUCCACAGCCAGCUAUAGGGGACCAUGUGAUUGCUCUUUGAGAGCGAUCACAUGGCCCCGGGGGCCUCAUUUGCCAAAGAAACAAAUUUGGCAGCGCAGGCAGCCCUUCAGAAGAGGAUUGCGGCGGAGGUAAGACCACCGGAGCUCCUGGGGCUGAAAGCCGUUACGGCGUUCUAUGCCACCGCAACAGCUUUAAAACCCAUUUAAUGCGGGACGGCAUAGAAUGCCAUAACGGCGUUAAGGGGUUAAUGAAUUGCAUUAUUUAUAAUACACCAGCUCUAACCAGUUUACCUCAUAUCCAUAAUCUAAUUUCAAACCUCUUGUUGUGCCUAGUCAGUGAACCCUGAUUCUCUAUGUUCUCUGAUCAAUAAGUUGCUUAAAAUAUAAAUAAAUUUAUAUAUCCUCCAAAUUUGAUCAGAUUGCUCUAAACUUGGGUUGAUUUUUUGGGGUAUAUUUUAACCCCUUAAGGACAAAAGCAAUUGUUCAGAUCAAAACAAAACCUAGAAUUUGAGCUAUAUGUCUGUUGAACCAUAAGCGCACCCACACUGAAUUUUUUCUGAUGAAAUA